This 483-nucleotide ribosomal RNA is filed under the name uncultured bacterium. Its description in RNAcentral is "partial 16S ribosomal RNA". It matches the Rfam family "Bacterial small subunit ribosomal RNA", at positions 28 to 523 of the family's 1533-position model. The record is from RNAcentral.
GACGAACGCUGGCGGCGUGCUUAACACAUGCAAGUCGAACGAUGAAGCUGGAGCUUGCUCCGGUGGAUUAGUGGCGAACGGGUGAGUAACACGUGAGCAAUCUGCCCGUGACUCUGGGAUAACUGCGGGAAACUGUAGCUAAUACCGGAUAUCGCGCUUUGAGGCAUCUCCGGGCGCUGAAAGAAUUUCGGUCAAGGAUGAGCUCGCGGCCUAUCAGCUAGUUGGUAAGGUAAUGGCUCACCAAGGCGACGACGGGUAGCCGGCCUGAGAGGGUGACCGGCCACACUGGGACUGAGACACGUCCCAGACUCCGACGGGAGGCAGCAGUGGGGAAUAUUGCACAAUGGGCGAAAGCCUGAUGCAGCACCGCCGCGUGAGGGAUGAAGGCCUUCGGGUUGUAAACCUCUUUUAGCAGGGAAGAAGCGAAAGUGACGGUACCUGCAGAAAAAGCACCGGCUAACUACGUGCCAGCAGCCGCGGUAA